RNAcentral lists this long non-coding RNA (1674 nucleotides) under Fragaria vesca (wild strawberry). RNAcentral describes it as "long non-coding RNA (FVES_LNC000746)". The record is from RNAcentral. Lineage: Eukaryota; Viridiplantae; Streptophyta; Magnoliopsida; Rosales; Rosaceae.
UUCCGGGAAUAGGGAGAGGACAGACGUUUUGGAGGAGAAGGAGGAGAACUGAAGUCUUGCAUUUGGGAGCAAGUAUUAGGUGAGUAAAACUUAUGGAAUUUCUUUGUUCAAUGAUUACAGUUGUUCUUCUUUCCCACUUUCAUUGUUUCUGAUAAUUCUUUGAGUUGUUGUUUUGCCAUUGAGGAUUUCACAUUCUUUUGAUAGGAACUUGAAUUUUAGGGAUGCUUGGUUGUAUGGAAACUGGGAUUAGUCGGAUUCCUUUUUUUUAUUUUUUAGUUUGGGUCGAAUUUACUGUAAUUGGUCAAUUUAGCAUCCUUGUUUGUCUUUAAAAUCAUGAAUUGACUGUACAGAUGUGUUGGGCAUUUUGAGUAGUAUAAAAUCGACAUAUUAUUUGCGUAAUUUGAUUGAGAAUUGAGGAAGUUACGGUGGUGUGAAGUUAUUCUUGUUUGUUUCUCUUCUAUAUUAAUCCAGAUGGGUUCAAGGACUCAUUUGGUUCAUUGAACUCCUUGAUUAAGUAUGAAGCACACACAACAUUGUAGAAGGUUCCUUAACGAAUCAAUUAACGAUUCAAUAGGAUUAAGAAUCACCUCAAACGGAUAAGAACUGAAACUUGUAGAGAACUUUGAAAUAGGAAGGUUGCAUCAAAUUUUUGGUAUGAACAUCUGAAAGAAAUCUGAGUUAUUUUUAGAGUCAGUUGACAAUGCUUCUAUGGUACCCACAAAUGCUUAGCACUUUGUCUUCUUAAUAUCAUACAUUAGUUAUGUCUUGUACUUGAAAUAUGAAUUCUGAUACCUUGAGUUAUGCAAUACAUAUGUCAUUUCCCUGCAAUCGAUCAUGGUUAUAUUUUUCACUCUUGUGAAUAUUAUGUUUUAAAGAAAAUACGGAAUUAUUAAUCUACGUACAUUACUGUUCUUGAUUUGGUUUAUAUUUACUUGCGUAGACACCUGCAUAAUUAACUUUGUGUCAUCAAUAUGGUAAUGUAUCGUUGUGGUUACAAUUGAUGGAAGGUUAGAAGACCUUGAGUACCUUGUAGGAUGGGUGAGUUUGAUCCCACAGUGAGCAAGCAGGGAACAAGAAUAGUCCUUGGGAUGAAAAGCCUCAUAACAGUUAGUGCACUAGUCUGUCGUUGUCAAUUCAGUAUUAUGUUGUGCGGUCUGGUUCAACAUGGUGAGUCUGAUCCGUGUUAGAGCAGUGCCCUACUUGGUGAGUUUGAUCCAUGUGGGUUUUAUAGAUGAGCAUUGUGUAUUCUUAAAUCAAAUUGUGUACUGCUGCAAGGGUGGUACCUCAUCAUUGCUUUGUAGGAGACGUACUGGAUGUUAUAACUGUUGUCUCAUGAAUUUUUAUUUUAUUUUAUAGAGUUGUUUGUUAUCAAACCUGUGAAAUGUUCUUUUAUCCUUCUCUAAGUAUUUACAUUAAUGUGUAGAAUAGAGUGGUACAUCAUCUCUAUACAUUGAUUAGUAUGACUUACUGAGACUUACUGUGUGUUAUCAUUAGUAGUCUUAUGUAUUGUUAUUUUAAAAGUUGUUCAUCAUACACUCUCAUGAAAUAUUCUCCUGUUUUACGUAAUAUAUAAGUGUAUAAUAGUCUCUUGUGUAGUUUUGCUCAUACAAGCUUCAUAAGCUUACCGGGUUUUUCUUUUCUUUUGUGAACCCGGUACACCAUAUUAUGGUGUAG